GUGAGGAAUCUUCCACAAUGGGCGAAAGCCUGAUGGAGCAACGCCGCGUGAAGGAUGAAGGUCUUCGGAUUGUAAACUUCUUUUAUGAGUGAAGAAUAUGACGGUAACUCAUGAAUAAGCACCGGCUAACUACGUGUCAGCAGCCGCGGUCAUACGUAGGGUGCAAGCAUUAUCCGGAGUGACUGGGCGUAAAGAGUUGCGUAGGCGGUUAUGUAAGCGAAUAGUGAAACCUGGUGGCUCAACCACACAGACUAUUAUUCGAACUGCAUAACUCGAGAAUGGUAGAGGUAACUGGAAUUUCUUGUGUAGGAGUGAAAUCCGUAGAUAUAAGAAGGAACACCAAUGGCGUAGGCAGGUUACUGGGCCAUUUCUGACGCUAAGGCACGAAAGCGUGGGGAGCGAACCGGAUUAGAUACCCUUGUAGUCC
This 427-nucleotide ribosomal RNA is filed under the name uncultured bacterium. RNAcentral describes it as "partial 16S ribosomal RNA". It matches the Rfam family "Bacterial small subunit ribosomal RNA", at positions 354 to 796 of the family's 1533-position model. The record is from RNAcentral.